Molecule: ribosomal RNA, 253 nt
Filed under: uncultured bacterium
Lineage: Bacteria
Description: partial 16S ribosomal RNA
Rfam family: Bacterial small subunit ribosomal RNA
Source: RNAcentral
UACGUAGGGGGCUAGCGUUGUCCGGAUUUAUUGGGCGUAAAGAGCGUGUAGGCGGCUUGGCAAGUCUGCUGUGAAAACUCGAGGCUCAACCUCGAGCUGUCGGUGGAAACUGCUUGGCUAGAGUCCGGAAGAGGAGAGUGGAAUUCCUGGUGUAGCGGUGAAAUGCGCAGAUAUCAGGAAGAACACCCGUGGCGAAGGCGGUUCUCUGGGACGGUACUGACGCUGAGACGCGAAAGCGUGGGGAGCAAACAGG